RNAcentral lists this RNase P RNA (388 nucleotides) under Spiroplasma sp. RNAcentral describes it as "RNase P RNA component class B". It matches the Rfam family "Bacterial RNase P class B". From Rfam's summary of the family: Ribonuclease P (RNase P) is a ubiquitous endoribonuclease, found in archaea, bacteria and eukarya as well as chloroplasts and mitochondria. Its best characterised activity is the generation of mature 5'-ends of tRNAs by cleaving the 5'-leader elements of precursor-tRNAs. Cellular RNase Ps are ribonucleoproteins. Lineage: Bacteria; Bacillati; Mycoplasmatota; Mollicutes; Entomoplasmatales; Spiroplasmataceae. The record is from RNAcentral.
AAAAUGAGCUAAUCGCUGCAAACUAAAAUUUGUAGAGGAAAGUCCACGCUCACACUUUCUGAAAUGAAAGUAGUGGUUUGUGUUAAAGGAAAAAAUAACUUUAAGUAGUUAAAUCUUGAUUUAACUAACGGCUGAUGAAAAACCUAAGUUUUAAUUAUUAAUUAAAAUAUGGUUCUAGUCUAUAAAAGUGUCAUAGAGACGAGUAUUAAGGAAACUUAAGAAGUGGAACGUGGUAAACCCCACAAGUGAGAAACCCAAAUUUGGUAGGGGAGUUUGUUUUCUAGAAUAACAAUGGGAAACAAAAUUGAAUUCUUUCGGGAUUCAAUAGAUAAAUGAUUAGCAUGUUAUAUUGGUUUACAAUAUAACAUACAGAACGUGGCUUAUGAUU